CAAGCAGCUGCUCUUCUGGCCUCCUUUGUUCUCGGAGCGCCCGCCCUGCGAGUGAGCCAUUCCAUUCCUUCCAAUAUUCCAGAAAAUGUCUUUACGCGGUGUAGCCAACCUGUCGCUGUCACUGAGGACUCUUCUGAUUAUCUGGGCAUGCUUUACACGGGAUCCUGAAGAAUAUCGCGGUGACAAUGUUAAGGCAAAAUAGAACCAUUGCUUCUACAUCUUCUGCAAAACUAAUGCACGCAAACAACAGAAUAGUAAGAAAAGAUGAGACGACGACCCUGUGUGCCUGCCUCACGUAGUAGCCCUGAUCAAAACCUGAGAUUUCCCCGAUUGAAAGCACUGCGUGGUGAAGGACCACCGCAUCGAGUUUGAGAACUCCCGCAUCGUCGACCUUUAGAGGCCAAUUGCUAUAAGCGGCUUCCUGUGGAAUCCUGGUCCAUCCAGGCGGCAGCCCAUACACUUAACCGGUCUACAGGUGCGCUGCCCAGCGAGUCUGCCUCAACGGAAUGCUCCACAUCACGGAGAAUAGGCCUCACCCCACGGCAGAAAGA
Molecule: long non-coding RNA, 551 nt
Organism: Rhipicephalus sanguineus (brown dog tick)
Lineage: Eukaryota; Metazoa; Arthropoda; Arachnida; Ixodida; Ixodidae
Exons: 3
Source: RefSeq, a predicted model, not a curated record